UGAAAUUAGGGUGCCACUAGUUUUCCUUGAUUAGACAGGUUUGUGUCGGACACUUACACGCAUAAGGGUUAGUUUGCUUAACAAAGUUAACUUAACGGUUAAGGACCUUGGGGCAUAAAGGUUGGGUGCCAAGACAUGGAGAUGUUACCCAACAACAGGAGUCAUAUGUGAUAUGAUUAGCAAAAGUUGCCUACCGAUCUACCUUGUUUGCUAGCGGUGAUGCUAAAGCUCACUAGUAGACUUGUUAGUUGUGGAUCCUAAAUCACUAAGUGUCAAUAGAGGGAUAUUGAUUUUAG
RNAcentral lists this long non-coding RNA (296 nucleotides) under Setaria viridis. Its description in RNAcentral is "long non-coding RNA (SVIR_LNC000677)". The record is from RNAcentral. Lineage: Eukaryota; Viridiplantae; Streptophyta; Magnoliopsida; Poales; Poaceae.